UAUCACAAAACACCAGUUCCCAUACAAUCACCAAAGUUAAGCAAUGUAAAGCCUAGUCAGUACCUAGAUGGGUGAUCACUUGGGAAUACUU
Non-coding RNA from Acanthosepion pharaonis, 91 nucleotides. NCBI's taxonomy places the organism in Eukaryota, Metazoa, Mollusca, Cephalopoda, Sepiida, Sepiidae. The record is from the annotation of a GenBank genome assembly.